GAUGAAGAACGCAGCGAAAUGCGAUAAGUAGUGUGAAUUGCAGAAUUCAGUGAAUCAUCGAAUCUUUGAACGCACAUUGCGCCCCUUGGUAUCCCGAGGGGCAUGCCUGUUCGAGCGUCAUUUCACCACUCAAGCCUGGCUUGGUGUUGGGCGACGUCCUCUUUGGGGACGCGCCUCGAAACGCUCGGCGGCGUGGCACCGGCUUUAAGCGUAGCAGAAUCUUUCGCUUUGGAAGUCGGGGCCCCGUCUGCCGGAAGACCUGCUCGCAAGGUUGACCUCGGAUAAGGCAGGGAUACCCGCUGAACUUAAGCAUAUCAUAAGCGGAGGA
This 328-nucleotide unclassified non-coding RNA is filed under the name soil metagenome. RNAcentral describes it as "partial contains 5.8S ribosomal RNA, internal transcribed spacer 2, and large subunit ribosomal RNA". The stretch from base 1 to 120 matches the Rfam family "5.8S ribosomal RNA", at positions 35 to 154 of the family's 154-position model. The record is from RNAcentral.